GUCUCCUUCAGUCCUGUCCUGUUUGACCAGAGAUGAUCCUCCAGAACCAGAAGCCUCUGCAUCUGCAGACUGACACAUGAAGAGAGGAGAUCCACUUCCCUCAUCAACAGUGAUUGGUUGGUCAUCUCUCCAUGUAUUGUGUCCCGCUGGCUUCACAAAGCUCAUGUGGCCUCCAGUGAGAUGACCUUCACCUGAGAGAGUGAUUGGGGGAAAAGAGGUGGUUAAAGUUAGGUACUGUAAAUGCUCAACGCUAUAUUGUACACUAUUGACACUGGCCAUGUUCGAAUAUCCCUACUUUGAUGCUGAAAGCUAUCCUUUUCCAUAUUUUUAAGAGUUGAAAGCUGCCCCCACCAGACUCAGCACCAAGGGAGAGGGAGGCCAUAGCCGCAUUCAGUGGUAUGCGGUGAUGGAUGAGACGCUGCAGGAGUUGCCACUCCAUCAACCUACCAGUCAUCAUCUCCUCAUCCUCCUAAGGUGCAUCUGUGGACAGGCUCCUCUCCCUCCCAGAAGGGUCCAGAUGUAGGGGCGGGAGAAGGAGAUAAUCCAUCCACGUCUAACCGGCCUCACAACCACAGACCAUGCAUAACCACGCCAGCCCAGGAUCUCCACAUCAGGCUUCUUCAUCUGCGAGAUUGUCUGAGACCAGCCACCCGGACUGAGACCAGCAAACGAAGAAUUUCUGCACAAACUGUCAGAAAAGUGGCCUUUUAUAAAAACGGAUUUCUGGCAAUUUUACAUAAUUUUACAUGACUGGAGACUUUGGCAGAAUAUGUUUUAAUACCGCUCAAAUGAUCUUAAAUGACAGGCUACUUUGAUACGGACUAACUCAGAAUCUGAAAUCAAUAAAAAGACAAUAUCUUGAAUCCA
Molecule: long non-coding RNA, 867 nt
Organism: Oncorhynchus nerka (sockeye salmon)
Lineage: Eukaryota; Metazoa; Chordata; Actinopteri; Salmoniformes; Salmonidae
Exons: 3
Source: RefSeq, a predicted model, not a curated record